RNAcentral lists this ribosomal RNA (459 nucleotides) under uncultured organism. RNAcentral's name for it is "partial 16S ribosomal RNA". It matches the Rfam family "Bacterial small subunit ribosomal RNA", at positions 330 to 797 of the family's 1533-position model. The record is from RNAcentral.
CGUACACUCCUACGGGAGGCAGCAGUGGGGAAUAUUGCACAAUGGGCGCAAGCCUGAUGCAGCGACGCCGCGUGGGGGAUGAAGGCCUUCGGGUUGUAAACUCCUUUCGCUAGGGACGAAGCUUUUUUGUGACGGUACCUAGAUAAGAAGCACCGGCUAACUACGUGCCAGCAGCCGCGGUAAUACGUAGGGUGCGAGCGUUGUCCGGAAUUACUGGGCGUAAAGGGCUCGUAGGUGGUUUGUCGCGUCGUCUGUGAAAUUCUGGGGCUUAACUCCGGGCGUGCAGGCGAUACGGGCAUAACUUGAGUGCUGUAGGGGUAACUGGAAUUCCUGGUGUAGCGGUGAAAUGCGCAGAUAUCAGGAGGAACACCGAUGGCGAAGGCAGGUUACUGGGCAGUUACUGACGCUGAGGAGCGAAAGCAUGGGUAGCGAACAGGAUUAGAAACCCUAGUAGUCCCA